UCCGGCUUGGCGCCGGCAGUCUCCCUAGAGUCCCCACCAUUACGUGCUGGCAACUAAGGACGGGGGUUGCGCUCGUUGCGGGACUUAACCCAACACCUCACGGCACGAGCUGACGGCAGCCAUGCACCACCUGUACACCACCAAAAGAAGCCCUAUCUCUAGAGCGGCAUGGUGUAUGUCAAACCCAGGUAAGGUUCUUCGCGUUGCAUCGAAUUAAUCCGCAUGCUCCGCCGCUUGUGCGGGCCCCCGUCAAUUCCUUUGAGUUUCGGUCUUGCGACCGUACUCCCCAGGCGGAGUGUUUCACGCGUUAGCUGGGCCCCUGAUCCACGUAGACCAAGGGCGAACACUCAUCGUUUACGGCUGGGACUAC
This 370-nucleotide unclassified non-coding RNA is filed under the name uncultured bacterium. RNAcentral's name for it is "contains 16S-23S intergenic spacer region". The record is from RNAcentral.